Molecule: ribosomal RNA, 837 nt
Filed under: Triticum aestivum (bread wheat)
Lineage: Eukaryota; Viridiplantae; Streptophyta; Magnoliopsida; Poales; Poaceae
Description: partial small subunit ribosomal RNA
Source: RNAcentral
AUGUGCGGCCAGCCGGACUCGUGGAGGCAUUCGUUGUUGCAGUGCACUAUGUCACGGUGCAUAUGGGCUCUAGUAGAUGAGGACCUCUCUCCACAGCUAGCAGGUGUAACGGAACCAAGUGCGAAGCAGUGGUUGUUCACUCUCAUGAAGCUGUUAACACAUGAUCAAUUCGUUAAACUCACCGUUACGCUAUGGGCUAUUUGGUCAUCGCGGCGCAAAGCUAUUCACGAAGGAAUAUUUCAGAGCCCACAAAGCACGUAUGCAUUCAUUGGUAAGUUUAUACAAGAGCUUGAUUUGGUCCGAGAACCAGGGCAGAGUACCUCAAGGCGAGGAGCGGGUGCAGUCCAACAAAACCAACGACCAAAAGCUCCUCCACUGGGUGUAGCCAAGAUACAUGUUGACGCCGCAUGCCGCAGGGGCACAGGAGGAGUCGCAGCGGCAGUCUGUAGAGAUGCUAAUGGAGUAUUCUUGGGGAGCUCAGCCCUUGGAAUAGCAGGUGUCGAUGACCCGACAAUUCUGGAGACGAUAGCGUGUAGGGAAGCACUUGCCCUAGCCCAAGACCUAAACCUUCGGGAUGUGCUAGUGGCCUCGGAUGCGAAGGAUGUCGUGAAUGCUAUCAACAAUUCGGGCCAGGGUCCGAACGGAGCAAUUGUGGCAGAGAUAAACAGUUUAUCUUCUUUACUUAGCUUUACAUUUACUUUUGAAUCUCGGGCCGUCAAUGUAGAGGCACAUAGUUUAGCCGAGCAUGCUUUUUCACUGGGACCGGGGCUCCACCUGUGGCUAGGCCAAUCCCAUGAUCAGCGGUGUAUCCCACACCAUGUGGAAUUUUCUGAAUAA